CCGGUCGGUCGGGUCGGGUCGGGUCUGACCGCCAAUCAAUCUGAACCAUCGAAAUCCAUCUAUCCGCCGCGACUUGUCCUGAUCCUUGCCUUUCCUUCCUCCUUCCUCUUUCCCCUCUUCCUCUCUCUCGCGCAUCCCCACCCUGCUCCGACCUGCCCAAGCUCCAAUCCAGCUCGGUGCGGCUCUUUGCUAGACUCCAACCACACUGCGCCAUAGAUCCGCCGGCGCCUUUACCGUUCCCGUUCUACCUCAUCGCGCACCUGCUGUCCUCACCCCGUCCGCGAUCUAGGACAUUGAUUUUGGAGCUCCUCAUAGCCGGCAGAUGGACGAGAUAUCGACCAGUGAAAUCGUUGGCGUCCAUGACCCGCGUGCAAUAGAUUUUUACGAUCUACGCGGUGUUGAUGAAGCCACAAAGGAAAAGAAAAAAGAACAGCAGAGGAUGAGAGCGGAACGCAUCAAAACCAAGCGCUUAAGCAUAAAAAAAAACGCUUGAGGAAGCAACGUAAAAGAGAGGAAGCUAAAGCAAUUGUGGACAGGGCCCUCCAGUUAAGAGAAGAGAUGUAUCAAAAAAGGCUCGAAUUUGAGGCAUCGGAAAAGGGCAAGGAGGAGCAGGAAAAGUACCGCAGCACCCCUCCCUGGAGCUGGAGGCCGGCAGUUCCCAUUACUGAAGUCACUAACCAACCACCAGCUUUCGAAUGGGUUCCAUCUUUUGACGUUGAUAAGUUUGGGAGAAUAUCUGUACUGAAGUGUACAAGUUGGAGAGUCGAGGAAUACACAUUGGAACUUGCUGAGUGUGUGGUUGGACUUCAGUCAUUUACAGAAGACAAGCAUCUUUUCUCUUGCUCUGGAACAAUUGUUGAGUUUCUAAAGGGUGUUGGUUGUGUGGUAACAUCUGCUAGUUUAGUUAAAUUGCCACACCAAGAUGAGAUAGCUGAUAAACUCAAGGUCAAUGUAUGCUUACCAAGCGGAGAAACACUUGAGGGCUCAGUAUCAAAUGUGGACUUUUGUUACAACAUAUGUGUGGUACAUGUCCGGUCAACUUCGCAGCUGCCAGCGAAAAGGUUCAGUGCGGACACUACAUUUUUCAAUUUCGAUGACUGCCAUUCGAAAGAUGUUGUAGCUUUAGGCCGCCUUUGUAAGCGAUGGAGCUUGAACGUUGCUUCUGGAAAGCUAACCCCAAGAAGAAGCCAGUUUGAUUGUGAAGAACUUCUUGUUUCAUCUUGCAGAAUUUCAAAGAGAGGUGUUGGGGGUCCUCUGAUGGAUUUUGAUGGAAAUAUCAUCGGAAUGAACUUCUAUGACAAGAAAGAAACCCCUUUCGUUCCAGGUUUCAUCGUGUUGAAGUGUUUGCAACACUUCAAUGAUUUCGGGAGGGUCAUACGACCGUUGCAUGGACUGAGAGUUAAAACUCUUCACGAAGAACAGCUUACUGUACUUGAGAAGAUACAUCUGGUCUUCCCUGGGGUCUGUGGUGUCAUAGUGGAGAAGGUACAAGUGCCUUCACCUGAACAUUCUGAGAUAAAGGCUGGGGACAGUGGUGUCAUGGUGGACAAGAUAGAAGUACAUUCACCUGAACAUUCUGAGAUAAAGGUUGGGGACAUCAUCACUCAUGUUGAUGGCAUACCUUUCUCCAGUGCUGCAGAGAUGGGAAAUGUGAGGUGGAAAUGGGAAAGCAGGGUGAGAUGACCUUUCUUUUAACAGAGGGUCCCGAGAACCCAGUAGCUGAUAUUAUAUAUGACAACAAGUUAGAACAUACUAGCUAAUACAGGUAUCCCUACUACGAAAAACAUUCACUCCCUUCUUUGGUAGACAAGAUCUGAAAAGAACCAGGAUUGGAACUGGUUUGCUGGUGGGAAUGGGAUAUGGAUUGAAAAAUAACCUUCAUCUUUCUCACCACAUGAAUGACCCUUCUUCCUCGACAUGAUGCUAAAUAGUUGCCUGAAUGUUUUACUGAUUACUGGCAUGCUCAGACUAAUGAACACCUGCUCUGGCUGUAUUGGUCACUCAGGUGGUCGUCAUCUUGUUUUUGGACGGCAUCAACCCAUCUCAGCUUCCAUCGCUGCUUACUCUCCCUGGCAGCACUAAUCACGCUGCCAAGCUCAUCACGUAUGCUUGAGCUGCUCCCUUGCCCCUUUGUUGCUUUGUGAAGCAUCGUUCUCGAUCUGCCCCUCAUGUUAUCGAUCGCAGCUGUUGCAUCACCCAAACUUAGUGUCCGUUACUUGCCAAGAUCAUGGAAUGCUACUGCUCUAGGUGCAUGAAGAACAUCCUCCAUGGCUCCGGAGCGUCGGUCAUCCGCUGAACAUCGGCCAUGAUGGCAUGAUCUGAAAGAAAGGGGAAAGGGGUAGGCUCGGUAUAGGUGAAGUACGUUCAUUUGGAUAGCGCAGGGACUUCUCCAACUCAAAUACAAAUACGAAGAUACAGUACAUAGCAUAGAAAAGCAGAUCUGGUAUCACUGAUUGCCAGUAGGCCUCAUCUGGUCACCACCAGGAACUGGUAAUUUGUGCGAUGUUGUUUAACAACACACAUGUUUUUUUUGUUAGUUUGGUGGUAUACUGCUUGAUACGUGUGGUCAGCAUAUGCUAGAGAGGCAGAAAUUGGGCCUACCGGAGAACGACAACCAGAUGUCAACAGUGAUAAGCCUAAAGUUCGACGUGAAAACACAGAGAGGUCGCAAAUCGGAAAAGACAACCAGAACAA
Molecule: RNA transcript, 2694 nt
Organism: Triticum aestivum (bread wheat)
Lineage: Eukaryota; Viridiplantae; Streptophyta; Magnoliopsida; Poales; Poaceae
Gene name: putative protease Do-like 14
Exons: 13
Source: RefSeq, a predicted model, not a curated record